UACGUAGGGUGCGAGCGUUGUCCGGAAUUAUUGGGCGUAAAGAGCUUGUAGGCGGCUUGUCGCGUCUGCUGUGAAAAUCCGAGGCUCAACCUCGGACUUGCAGUGGGUACGGGCAGGCUAGAGUGUGGUAGGGGAGACUGGAAUUCCUGGUGUAGCGGUGAAAUGCGCAGAUAUCAGGAGGAACACCGAUGGCGAAGGCAGGUCUCUGGGCCACUACUGACGCUGAGAAGCGAAAGCAUGGGGAGCGAACAGG
RNAcentral lists this ribosomal RNA (253 nucleotides) under uncultured bacterium. RNAcentral's name for it is "partial 16S ribosomal RNA". It matches the Rfam family "Bacterial small subunit ribosomal RNA", at positions 524 to 776 of the family's 1533-position model. The record is from RNAcentral.